Molecule: ribosomal RNA, 385 nt
Filed under: uncultured bacterium
Lineage: Bacteria
Description: bacterial SSU rRNA
Rfam family: Bacterial small subunit ribosomal RNA
Source: RNAcentral
AUUGAACGCUGGCGGCAUGCCUUACACAUGCAAGUCGAACGGCAGCACGGGAGCAAUCCUGGUGGCGAGUGGCGAACGGGUGAGUAAUAUAUCGGAACGUGCCCAGUCGUGGGGGAUAACGUAGCGAAAGCUACGCUAAUACCGCAUACGAUCUACGGAUGAAAGCGGGGGAUCGCAAGACCUCGCGCGAUUGGAGCGGCCGAUAUCAGAUUAGGUAGUUGGUGAGGUAAAGGCUCACCAAGCCGACGAUCUGUAGCUGGUCUGAGAGGACGACCAGCCACACUGGGACUGAGACACGGCCCAGACUCCUACGGGAGGCAGCAGUGGGAAUUUUGGACAAUGGGCGCAAGCCUGAUCCAGCAAUGCCGCGUGCAGGAUGAAGGCC